UUUCAGUGCAAGUGUGUUUGUUUUCUUCGCUUUCAUCUUUCUUGGCAGUGCAGGUUGCCGCUCUCCCGUGUUCGCUGACCUGCCCCGCCCUCAUCUUCAGUCCGGUGGCGUGUGUGAGCGCGUUACCACCUCCUUUCUUCUCCACCUCCACCCCACCCCCAACCUCCACACACGGGCGGCAGACCGAGAAGGGGGGAGGGUGUCACACCCAUACACACACGCGCACACGCACGCGCAAACUCUCCAUGCCGUUGUGUGCUUCAACACAGCACGCAGACAUCCAUCUGUUUCUUUUCUUAGUUCUUCUACUUUUCGUUUGCUCGGUUAGAGUCCUGUGCGCCGCCACCCCUCCCCCCGUCCACCAGGUGCUGGCGAGAGGCGCCCUACCCCCGUAGUCGCUUGCUCUGUCUCUUUCGAUCUCUCCCGAGUGGUCCCAUCCCUUCUUCCUUCGUAUUGGUUAGCGCUUUCUGCCAUCUCCCGCUCGGCGGGUCGCUGUGCAGACGAGGGAGAGGGAGGGAGAGAGAGAGACUGCACACGUUCGCUAGCGGGUGGGUGUCUGCGUAAUCCAGCUCCACACUCUCCGCAUACCCCGCACACCCGCACGCCCAUGUAAACACGCGUGAGGGAGCGGGAAAGAGCGCCGCAUCCUUUUGUUUGGAUCUUUCUCUUUUCAUUUUGUCGAUGCUAAGCAGCUGUAUCUCGCAUCUCUCUUUGUGCAUGUGCCAUUGUAGCCACUCCUUCCCUUGGACUCGCUUCUCCCUUCUUCCCCCUCCCUCCCUCGCCUCGCCCCCUCUCCCCCAUCACAGCACCCUCUGUGCUCCGGCAUCGCUGCUUCCUUCGCGUCUGUUUGCUCGGUUCUCUCUCUAUCUCUCAUAGUUUGGCUUGGCUUUUUUUUUUGUGUGUGACGUUGUCUUCAUCCCGCAGUGCCGUGCCGCGUGUGUGUGUCUCUUGGGGAGGGGGCUUGUCCGUACAUCUCUGCAGAGGUGACGACAACAGCGGCUUGCGGUAUUCGGAGAGAGCGAGGGCAGCUCGUCUAGGAGACACGGGCACGCUCUCCGUUUUGCAAGUCUGUGCAGAUGAAACGAUCCACCACCGUGCUGCAACCCGUGCCAGCGAACUCGCAGCAGGUGAGCGAAGCUAUGAGUCGUCGCAGGGUCGCCACUAGCAGCAACAGAAGCAUCAGCCUCGACGGGGCCACGUCGGCACCGACAGCUGUGAAGGCCAACACUAAUACUGCCGCCGGUGCAUCCCCUCCGAUGCCAUCGCGCCGUUUUGGAGGCUUGGCAGACAGCAGCAACGGCUCGCCGUCGCCAGCGCGGCCAGACUUCUCGAGCUUUCUCACACCACGUACAUCGAGUGCGCCCGCGCCGAAGACGACAGCGGCAUCACCGCCGUUCCCACCACAGCAGCAGUGGCCUCAUGAUGCUGCGCAGAGCCCUCGACCAAGCCCCUCCGCCUCUGGCACCCCGUCUCGGGAGACUCCGUCAAGAAGACGCACGCAACACAUCCCAGUGCUGUCGAGGGGCACGCCGCCGCGCACCGCCACGGUCGCCGCCGUCACCACCGCGAGCCUCUCUGGCUCGCCGCGCUACGAAGAUGCACAUGACCCUCGUCAAGUGCAGCGUCUCACCGCUGUAAGCAUUUCGCCGAUGCGGAACUUAAUAUCGAAGCCUGCGCUGCCGGCAACUCCGUCAAGUGCAAUCCCCCCGACAGAUAAUUUUGGUGGUAGGCAAGCGGCUUCAGAAGCGGUAGAUGCUGCUGCUCAACCGACCUCGUUCGCAGCAACGUCGGAGUCGACAGCUUUAGCGUCAGCGGCUGCGUGGGGCAGAGCAAAGAAGUCGGCCGCCGCGAAACCAAGUGCCAAGGCAGCGUCUAGGCACGUCGGCGGUGCUCCGCCGACGUUGAUACCGACGAAAGUGUCCCAGAUACGCCUGCUGUCGACGCGCGAGGUCACUGUGGCGAACAAGCCGUGCACGGCGGAGACGGCGGAUGCGAUGCUUCGGGCACAACAUACAUCUGCUUCCACCCGUGCGCGCUCGCCGUUCCUCCGGUUUCAAGUCAGUGAGGCGACGCUGCCUCUAACCUUCUGUACAGCAAGCAGGAAAAGCAGCGUGUGGUCAUCUGACCACAUGAACCGGUCUGCCGUUCUAGGGGCCUCCGGCGCGACGCUCGCGCCGUCGGUGACGUCACCACGCCCCACCUGGUUGGAAAAUGUGGACGAGGAGGACACGACCCUCACGGGCGAGAACACCCCAGUCUCUGCAACGACAAGUCUCACCUACCCGCCCGCGGGCGGUUCAUCGACAGCGCUACGCUCCGCUGCGCCGGUGAAGUCUACACCGAGGACAACAGCAGCAUCGACCACGACGGCGACAGCGCCGGAGCCUGCUGCCGUGAAAUCCUCCAAGAGGAGGUCAGAUGUGAAGCCGACGCUUUUUAGUGCCGCCGCGGCCGCCGACGCUAAGUCAGAGCGGCUCUCACUCACACAGGGGUCUACCUCGCAAGUGAAGAAGUCGCGCGACGUGACACGAAGUGCCACCAACGCUGCACCAUCACCGGCCCACAGCUCUCCCCCUCAAACGCCACACAAACCAACCGCGGUGGCAGUGGGCGCCCAGCUGCACACCCCAAAGAUAUCCUCCAGUGCUAGCAAGACGGCCCGUUCUACACCCACACGUGCGGUAGCUUCCCCGAGCCGGCAUCCCGACGUGCUGCGGGGUGGGCCGCUGCGGCGUGCGACAUCGACGGCUGGAAUGCCUGCACCUCCUGCAGCCGCCGCUGCUGCUGCACCUGUUGUCCCCUCUGCACCAUGUCACGCGACUGGGGCACACAGCCAACGCGCGGCCACUAUCCUGAGCCAGACACUGUCCGCCGUGCGACCGAUGGCCCCGGUCGUGCAUGUGCGCAUACGACCGGUGCUGCCGUCCAUAGGGGAGAGUGGCAAUAACCGGCACGUCUACUUCCUCGAUCACGAGAACGUCAUGGUGACGCGCACUCGCCCGGGCAUUUCCGUCGCCAAUGCCUCCUUAUCCAUGCCGCCCUCAUCCCUGGUCGAGUUCACGGCGACCCGACGGAGUGGCAUAAAUGUGCAAGUUGUGCCUUCGCUGCAGCUGUCAAACCUCGACUGGCGCACGCUGGGCUCCUCUUAUAGCGCCAGAGGUGCCGCUGCCGCUCGCAACGGAGGAGCGGCAGCAGCGGUUGGUAGAGGCGGAGGCAACGCACCCGCGUCAUUAACGGAUGCGCCGCGUACCGCGGCGAUGACGACGGCUUCCCCCGCGUGCCUCUGCGGCGGGGACUUGGCGCUACUGAGGGCACCUGUGCCUGCUGAGAGCCCCAUGGCCUCGAAGACUUCCCCUGCAGCUGCCGGUGCUGCUGUGCCCGGUGACACCGACGGGGGCACCAUUGACGGCGUUUUCUCGAACACUAGCCCUUCGUUGGAGAGUCUGCAGCCGCUCUCGUUCCCGCCCCCGAUACUAGCGAUGCAUCACAACCGCACGAUUAGCUGGACGAGCCAGGGGAGUGAGGAGCACUCUCCCAGCAGCCGUUUGUCUUGCGGGUCGCCAUCCACGUCCGUAUCACCACAGCAGCUCGGUAUGGGUUUGGCAGGCGGCGGCACUGAAGCUUGUAUGAACUUAGGCACCUUCGCUAGCGCAUCGCGCACGCGUCCGUGGCUGACAACGUUCAAGUCGUUCACAGAGGACGAGACGCCGUCGGCGUUUACAACUCCCCGGGAGCUGAGGGCGGGGAGUAGUUCUGCUGGCGUGUGUACCAGCAGAACCAGUGGCCGCGACAGCAGCGGUAGUGCUGCGCGCAGCAGGAGAGGCAUUUCAGCAUCGCAGCGCCGCGCCAAGGGCCCGGGAAUCGAGCGGAAGCCGCGCUACGGCGGCAUUUCACUUUCAGCGGUGUCUCUUGCCACCACGCGCAGGAACUCCGAGGCCACCACCACCGCUGGUGUGAGCCCUCGCACAACCGCCACCACCUCCGCUCCGUCUCCUACCAGCAUGCGCCGGCGCGCGUCGCGCUCAAUCCUCGGUGCAUCCGUGAGUGUGUCGGCCUUGUCGAUACCGACCAUGCCCAAGGCCAGCGGUGGCGCUACGAAUGGCACAAAGUUGACGGAAGAGGAUGCUGACGCGAAGUCGGAUGAGGCACGACAGCACGAGUGGCAGAUGCAGCGGCAGCAGACGCCUAUCGGCAGCAACAGCGUAUCCGCGUCUGGCGCUGCCACGGGUGCGGAGCAGCAUUACAGUUUCGAGUUCGUGCACGACGAGGAGGCAACGCAGGCGGACGUCUUCGAGGAGAGCGUGCUGCGCUUUGCCGACGAGGCGCUGCUUGCCCAAAACGUCGCCAUCAUCUGCUAUGGCCCCACAGGCAGCGGCAAGACGUACAGCAUGAUGGGGAGCCAAGCCCAGCCACCUUCCGCCGCCCCGGCAUCAUCCGGCGCCACACCCCUUCGAGCAGGCGGCGGAGCGGGGCACCGCAGCGGGGGCCUCAGCACCUCCAGCACCCACUCACACCCGCAGCCCGACUCGCGCGGUCACACACCGCACGGCCGCGCGAACGCCGGCGAGACGCAGCGACGGUUCAUCGACGAGGCCGCAGCUGGGCCGUAUGGGGGAGGCGUGGAGCGGGAUGCACAUGCGGUCGAGGACGAUGGCGAGGGCGACGGCACCAGCUGGACAAGGCUCGGCUCCAGUUGCCGGUACGACUACGUCGAGCACACAUGCAAAGGGAAUGGCGGCUCAGCUGCGACUGCAGUGCGACGCAACCACCAACGCUACCCCCACAGUGGCGGCGGUGGAGGGCUUCUCUUGGCGACCUCAGCGAUGGCGCUCGAAUCCGCUGCGAUGACCGGGAGCAUGGCAGAGAUGGGCAUCCUUCCACGGCUAGUCCACACACUGCUGGAGCGGCGCGGGGAGGCCAUCACAAUUCGGCGAGACCCCGGCAGGGACGUGGCGGGCCGCAGCACAAACAGCUUGCAGUCGACUUCGCGGCAGAAGACAACGGUGAAGCGCGCCGGCGGUCUCUCGCUGACUCUCCGAGAUCUCACCUUCUACGGCAUCGAGUUGUACAUGGACGAACUGUGCGACUUGCUGGACCCCGGAAAGCGACCGAUUCGAGCCGUCAGCGACACAGGCGGCUUGGCAAUGCUGUGCCAGCGCAUCAACGAGGCCCGGGACUACCGCAUCAGAGGCAGUCGUGGUGGAUCCAGCCACAACACCACGCAGACUGCCCGCACCGGCGGCGGAAUGGCGAUCACGUCCCUGGCCGACCUGCGUCGCGCGUAUCGCCUUGCCCACGGCAACCGCGUCACGGCGCGCCACGCAAAGAAUGACACAAGCUCCCGCUCUCACGCCAUUUUCCUCCUGCAGCUCGACUUUGACCUGAUCGAGUCGACCAACACGCCCCGCGGCGGCGCUGGUGGCGGGAUAGCUGCAGCGGGUGACAGAGGUGCCGCAGCGCCGCCCCCCCCGUCGGAGCGUGUGCAGCGCGUGCACUCGUAUGUUGCCAUGGUGGAUCUGGCGGGCUGCGAGCGGGUUAAGCAGACCAAGGUCGAGGGGGCCGCGUUGCGUGAGGCGCAGUACAUCAACAAAUCGCUCUCCGCCCUCUCGUCGGUGGUGCUCUCGCUGCACCACCAUAACGCUCAUGUGCCAUACCGCGACUCUAAGCUGACGCGACUGCUGCGGCCCUGUCUCGAGGGCGGCCGCGUUCUCACUCUUGUCCAUGUCGCACCGUGUUCCAGUACGGAGGCGCUCAACACAUUGAAGUUCGCGGACCAGAUUCGCCACAUCCACAUCCCCACCCAUGCCCUUACCCCGACGUCCUCGAAGCACCGCGAGCUGCUGGACGUGUUUGCUGACCUCAUUGACCCGAUGCAGGGGCAGUGGGAGGCGCAGGUGCGGCAAGCACAGCUGCAGCUGGACCGGCUUUGCGCUGACGUACGGUUGUCAUACUUCUCGCGCGCCGUCGGUGCCCUCCCGCACCGCACAGCUGCAAGGGAAUCGUUGGCCAGCGAUGUUGUUAGCGAACUCUCAGCGGUGUCCGAGGAGGACGAUAGCGUCUCCUUCUCCUCGGGCGACUUGAGCCAAGAGGAAGGCCCGCAACCACUGACGGAGGACGCCACGGAGGCGGAUAAACGUCGCUUCGCCCUGCGCACGGUGAUGCACCGAUUCAUGGGGCCCAUUCACUCACGUCAGCGCACAACCAUGCGAAACGCUGUGCGAGCGAUUCGGCGGCGCGCGGAACAGAAGGUGCUUGCCCACCGUCGACAGAUGCAGCAGCAAGUCGAUGAGCUGCAGGCGACGUUGCAGAAGCUCACCGCGGCGAACGCAAAGUUGGCGAAGGAGAACAGCACCCCGCUGCCGCGAGAUCCGCACGCGCUAGAGCUGAGUCGCCGCAUCCGCGAGAGCACCGAGGAGCUCGGGGAGUACGCCAAAGAGCAGGCAGCCCUCAUAUCUCUCACCACCGCGCUCCGGCAGCGCCUUGCCACGCAGGACGACGUAGAGGCGGCGGUGGAUGAGCAACUACACAAGGUACAGCACCGCACCGCGCAGGCUAUGCGAACCCUCUCGGCCGCCGUCGCCGCACACCCACCUGGGGGCCCACCCGCCGAGUCGGGAACGGCGUUGCCCACGGAGCCUACGCUGCCCGCCGACUCCUCGGCCACGGCCGCGUUGGCGAUGAACACGAAGGACGACCCGGAGCUGCGCGACAUCGCACAUCAGCAGCUCUCCCUCGCGAAGGAGCUCGCAGCUUUGCGGCUUGAGAAGGCGUGCUUCGAGAUCGGGACCGCGCUGUGGGAGGGUCUGUGGGCUCGCGCCAUGCGUAAGGAAAUCAUCACAGCUAUGGAGGUGGAGGUCUUUGAGAUGGAGCGCAUUCUACUGGAUCGGCGUGCGCUGUCAAUUAUGAUGUUGAUGGCGGGAGAUGCCGAUGUGGACGGCGAGGCAAACACGGCCGCAUUACUCGUGUCACCGCGGUCGGCAGCAUACCCUGGAAACCGCCUCGGCUCCGUCGAGCGGGACGAACGCGGCAUGGGUGUCACCACCGCUGAGCACCAAGUCGCCACGCCACCGAUGCAUUCAGCACCACAUGCGUCGCAGCCUCGCGUACAGCAUCUGUCACCGUCAGUGACCCCACAUUCAUCACUGAGGGGGCGCCUGGACGGCUACGUGCACAGCGGAGCCGAGCCGGGCGACCGGAGCAGUGGCGUCGCUACGCCGCAAGGGAGCGCUAACAAGGGUGAGGGAGGCGCGGCAGUGCCGUUCAGUCCUUCACUGCCUCAGCGCUCGCGUCGCGACCGUGCAGUGGAUCUCGCUGCCACAACAAGUGACAGGUCUUUAAGCUCCGCAACAGAGUUGUUCAGUGCCAUCGCGUCAAGCAGCGAGGGCCUUCGCCUGCGCAGUGCGCUAGCUGCCGCUGCUGCCCUACCGUCGCCGCCUCCACGCAGAGGGCUUGAGGGGCCUAUGCCCAACCCACUGACGGUGCUGGUGGCAGAAGAGCAACAGAAGCAGCCCCCAAACCACAUGGCCUCUGCCUCAUCUCCGCCGUUCUCGUGCAAGAGCAGCACUGCCGCAGCUGUGAUGGAGGCGCUCAUGCCACUUUCGCUCGCUGGCUCGUACGAGGAGGAGCAGUCGAUGCAGGAGGCAUGUCUGCAGCUGAUGUUACGAGAGGGCAUUCCAUGUGAGGUGUGCUGCUUGGGUGAAUCGGCCAGCCAAACUCUUCAGCACUUCAUCUUGCCUAGCAGCGCCGAUGCGCCCCUAGCAGAGGUGGCUGAGCAUGAGGAGCCGACGUCCAAUUCGUCCGCCGCGCCCGCCCGCUACCGCGUCACGGCGGCAGCGGCAGCGGCCCCGGGCGCAACAGAAAAAGGCGGCGACGCCAGCUCGCUAUUAUCGGGACAAAGGCACGCUAGUGCAGGUGCCCGGGGCGGGUCGUCAUCGGUGCGGCCUUGCGAGCGUCCUGGUGGGCCCAAGGUUCCGUUUUGCACCACUCGUCACGGUCGUCUGCGGCUCGUGCGCAUGCCGCGCCGCCCGAGCUGCUAUGUUCUCGAAUUCGUCUACACCCACCAAGCGCUCCCGAUGACGCCUAGACUACGGGCCGCGAUGCUGGGGAAGCCGGAGGACAAGUUCACGUCGCUACCCGGCAAGACGCAUUUGGAGCAGAUGGUGGACUCUCUGCCGACGGUGCAAGGCGUCGCAGGUCGGGGCGGCGGCGGUGGCAGCAGCGGCAGCACCGCCAUUCGGCCACAAGGCCCACUGCGCGAGCACCGCCUCUUUGCGAUUCCACUGUUUGAGCCCACCCUUCACCUGCACGUGCACGUGUUGGAGGAGGGCAUACCGAACAUGACGACGCCGGUGGCGGCGACUGUGGGCCUGCCGGGCGGUAUCGAUGCCCACGAAAUCGCCGGCUCCACCUUCGAAGACCCCAGUGGUCACAUUGAACCCGGCAUGUCCGCAUCCCCUUCAUCGUCUCUCCCUGCGUUGUGCGUCGCUCGGCGGUUGGAGAGUGGGCCGCAGCUCGUGAUAGAGGUGCGCGGCGUGCCUCAGGCGGCCUCGACGUGCCGGCCGGUGUUCACUCCAGACUCCAAGAAGUCACCGAAGUCCAGCCAGCAGCAUCAGCAGAAGCCCCACCCGUUCCAUAAUACGCCUGCCAGGGCAGGCUCGACGGCCAGGCUAGGUCUCCAGACUGGAAAACCUCAGCACGCCAUCGGCCGCAGUCCUUCUCAACCGUCGACCUCAUCUCAGAGAGGGUCAACGCCGUCCGCGUCUCCGGCUCCGACGGGGGCCGGGACGGCAGUCUGGAGCGGCCUCGUGCUGGCGAAGCGGCUCAGCGGCGGCGGGGAGCUGAUGCUACCGUCCUCAUGCAUCCUAUCGAACAUGGGCUGCUGCUCACUGGUGCUGCGCUUUCCUGCUCCCUUCUUUGCCUCCUCCGCGUCGCGGGUGGAGAGAGUGGAGGCGUUGGUCGGGGCUCUCUGCGGCAUCCUGCGCCCCUCACUGACAGCGCCGGAGGUGCGGGCGUCGUCGUCUCUGUCUCCGUCCAAGCGGGUUGUUAGCGUGCGACGGCGCCCCUCCAGCUCUCCUCGGUCCACCUCCGCAGGCGGCGCGGAGAAGGGCGGUAGCAACGGUGGCGGUCGACAGGUCAGCAGCGGCUCGCGCUUGCCAUUGCCGUGCGUACGCGCGCCGCCCGAGCUAGAGGUGGUAAACUACGCUCACGUCCCGUACAACAUGUUCCUGCCCGCUGCCAGUGCCACUCAGACAUCCGAAGUCAGUGCAGCGAACUUGGGAGACGGAGUGGAAGGCGUCGGCUGCGGGCUCCACACCCCUGGACGUCCAUGUGUGCCGCCUGGUCACGGGGCUGCGCCAACCUCGACCUCCUCAUCCAUUAUAAGCAGCGACUCGCUCGACGGUCUGGGGGCGAUGGGCGGUGGUGUGCUGGGGCACAUGUUGCAGAGCAGCUGUAGCCAUGCGCAUCGACGCCACUCCGCUACCGUCAUGCCACCCGACACAUGUCUGCCGCAGCACACCACCACGUUGAACGGUGCGCUGAAGCCUUUCCGGGGUAAUUCACGAUCGUCCUCCCCAGCAGCGCCUUUGAUGGACCAGCAGAGCAGUGCGACGCUGCAGGUGCAGUUUUACUGGAUACCGACGCCGCUCAACAUCGAGCCACCCCGUCGGGACGCGGGCCGGAAGAGCAGCGGCGGCACCGGCUGCAGCAGCGAUAACGACGGCAACGGCGAGGAUAGGGCGGCGAGGUGGCGUGAGGUAAGCGCGGAGCGACGCAGCAUUGGCAACAGUCACUUUUACCGCGCCAACGCACUUACCUCAACCGCCGCGGACACCGCCGCUGCGGCAGCCGAGGCCAGGAUGGAUCACCUCGUGCGACUGCAGGUGCAGACCGCGCUUUCCAUUCUUGCUCAGCUGUCCUACGUCUUCGUUGAUGGUCGCCCUCUCGCCAAUGCUGCGGACGACGGUGAAGGCGCUGCCGCCUCAUCCCUGGGAUCGACGCUGACAGAGAGCUUCGGUGCGCACGACGUGCGGCGGUCAUUGGUGAUCGAGCGAGGUGGCCGUCCACGGAGCCGGCCAGAGGUGGACGCCGCAGGUUUCCGUGACGCCGUCGCCGUCGCUUCCCUUCUGAGGCAGAUCGACACGUACCGCCAUCGAAUCCGUCGCCUCUUCCGUCAGCAGCUGUACGACGCCGAGGACAUCAUUGGCGAUGACAUGGCGCCACCCGCGCCGCAGCCGUGGCUCACUGGCGAGCUUGGACGCGGCGCCUACCUUCGUGAAGUGCAGGGUGAGGUGAAGCGCACAAUCGGGCUUCCGGCGUCGACCGUCUUCGGCUGCGCUGGCGGUGGUGCGGCGCCGCCGCUGAUGAUGUCCCCUGGCCGACACCCAAGAUGUGACGACCGCGGCAUGCAUGCAGCGCUGCUAGAGCCCGAGAGUGGUGACGCAGCGCCCGACACGCAGGUAACAGUCACCGAGGCGCGCGAGGCUUGUGCGACAAGGGUACCGUGGACUGUGUGGCAGUGGGCCUAUCGCUGGUCUCGGUUGAAUCGGCUGUUGCGCGGGGACUCGGUCAGCUGCCUGGGCAGCGGCGGUGCUCACGACACGGGCCGUCCUUCUGUUAGUCAGGCAGAGGCGGCUGCCGCGUGGCUGCCUCUCGCGGCUGGCAACAGCGGCAGUGCAGCGUCACCGACUGUGACUUCAUCUCUCCUCGCGUCCUGCUCCAUGGUUGCCCUACCGACCUUGGCCACCGCCUCCUCGAGCUCCGACGAGGGGUUCGUGAUGGGGGGCGACUGGCUCACAGAGGCGAAGCUCGCGGCGCGUUCAAAGCGGGUGUGGCUGCCGCAAGUGCUCGCCACGACGGUCCCAUCCUACUUGGAGAACUGCGCCUCUGCGGGUCUGUAGGCGAGGGCCGCGGCGGGGAGACUUCUGUGGGGCGAGAGGAGAGGGGUCUGCAGUUGCUGUGUGCCAUACGUGUGUGUGUGUGUCUGUGAUGAUCUGUUCUAUGUUAGUGUGGAUUCCAGUCUUCUCGGAGGGGUGUCGGUGUAGACCGGAGCAGCGACACACGACCUUUCAGCGCGCGCCCGCGUGCUUCUUUUCUGUCCGUCGCCUUCCUUCUCGUAGGGUGCGUGUACGUCUAUGUACGCCUGCGUGCGUGCGUGUGUUUUGUGCAUCAUCCUCGACGCCGACACGGGAUUCGUUGCCGACGCCGUCAUCCCUCUGUCUUUUGGGUAACUCCACGACAUCCCUUUCUGCACUCUUCGUAGCGAGCACACACACUGCACAAGAGAGGGCGCAGGGGGACAGGGACGGCGAUCAUCCUUCCUGACACACUCUCCUGCCUCUACUGAACACGUCACUCCGCGCUCCUUCUCGCCUUCCUGUCGUUUUCUGACCUCUGUCACCUUUAACUGCUUUCACGCGCACGCACGCACUGGUGCCCGCACCCCCGUGCACGAGCGAAG
RNAcentral lists this unclassified non-coding RNA (11458 nucleotides) under Leishmania donovani. RNAcentral's name for it is "gene:LdHU3.24.1780(CDS-product:kinesin_putative)". The record is from RNAcentral. Lineage: Eukaryota; Euglenozoa; Kinetoplastea; Trypanosomatida; Trypanosomatidae.